GACGAACGCUGGCGGCGUGCCUAAUACAUGCAGGUUGAGCGCUGAAGGUUGGUACUUGUACCAACUGGAUGAGCAGCGAACGGGUGAGUAACGCGUGGGGAAUCUGCCUUUGAGCGGGGGACAACAUUUGGAAACGAAUGCUAAUACCGCAUAAAAACUUUAAACACAAGUUUUAAGUUUGAAAGAUGCAAUUGCAUCACUCAAAGAUGAUCCCGCGUUGUAUUAGCUAGUUGGUGAGGUAAAGGCUCACCAAGGCGAUGAUACAUAGCCGACCUGAGAGGGUGAUCGGCCACAUUGGGACUGAGACACGGCCCAAACUCCUACGGGAGGCAGCAGUAGGGAAUCUUCGGCAAUGGACGAAAGUCUGACCGAGCAACGCCGCGUGAGUGAAGAAGGUUUUCGGAUCGUAAAACUCUGUUGGUAGAGAAGAACGUUGGUGAGAGUGGAAAGCUCAUCAAGUGACGGUAACUACCCAGAAAGGGACGGCUAACUACGCG
Molecule: ribosomal RNA, 497 nt
Filed under: uncultured bacterium
Lineage: Bacteria
Description: partial 16S ribosomal RNA
Rfam family: Bacterial small subunit ribosomal RNA
Source: RNAcentral